AAAGACGGCGUAUGCUGUCACUUUUGGAUGGACCCGCGGCGUAUUAGCUAGUUGGUGAGGUAACGGCUCACCAAGGCGAUGAUACGUAGCCGACCUGAGAGGGUGAUCGGCCACAUUGGGACUGAGACACGGCCCAAACUCCUACGGGAGGCACCAGUAGGGAAUCUUCCACAAUGGACGAAAGUCUGAUGGAGCAACGCCACGUGAGUGAAAAAGGUUUUCGGAUCGUAAAACUCUGUUAUUGGAGAAGAACGUAUUUGGUAGUAACUGGCCAGAUAGUGACGGUAUCCAAUCAGAAAGCCACGGCUAACUACGUGCCAGCAGCCGCGGUAAUACGUAGGUGGCAAGCGUUGUCCGGAUUUAUUGGGCGUAAAGCGAGUGCAGGCGGUUUUUUAAGUCUGAUGUGAAAGCCUUCGGCUUAACCGAAGAAAUGCAUUGGAAACUGGGAAACUUGAGUGCAGAAGAGGAGAGUGGAACUCCAUGUGUAGCGGUGAAAUGCGUAGAUAUAUGGAAGAACACCAGUGGCGAAGGCGGCUCUCUGGUCUGUAACUGACGCUGAGGCUCGAAGCGUGGGUAGCAAACAGGAUUAGAUACCCUGGUAGUCCACGCCGUAAACGAUGAGUGCUAAGUGUUGGAGGGUUUCCGCCCUUCAGUGCUGCAGCUAACGCAUCUAGGCACUCCGCCUGGGAGUACGACCGUCAAGGUUGAUACUCAAAGGAACUGACGGGGGCCCGCANCAGCGGUGGAGCAUGUGGCUUAANUCGAAGCAUCGCGAAGAACCGUACCCAGGUCUUGACAUCUAGCGACCAAUCUAGNANAUNNGACGUUCCCCUUCGGGGACGCUAAAUNNNGUNNNNCAUGNUGUCGUCAGNNUCGUGCNNNAAAUGCNNGNUAGUCCANCCACUGAGUGNCNACCNUUCAUUNUNNNUNUCAGCAUUC
Molecule: ribosomal RNA, 939 nt
Filed under: Lapidilactobacillus dextrinicus
Lineage: Bacteria; Bacillati; Bacillota; Bacilli; Lactobacillales; Lactobacillaceae
Description: Lactobacillus dextrinicus partial 16S ribosomal RNA
Rfam family: Bacterial small subunit ribosomal RNA
Source: RNAcentral